RNAcentral lists this non-coding RNA (31 nucleotides) under Mus musculus (house mouse). Lineage: Eukaryota; Metazoa; Chordata; Mammalia; Rodentia; Muridae. The record is from RNAcentral.
CACCAUGGUUCAUACAUGUGUCUACUUAUGU